Long non-coding RNA from Meriones unguiculatus (Mongolian gerbil), 599 nucleotides. RefSeq lists it as uncharacterized. The record is from RefSeq and is a predicted model, not a curated record. NCBI's taxonomy places the organism in Eukaryota, Metazoa, Chordata, Mammalia, Rodentia, Muridae. The transcript has 4 exons.
GAAGGACAGCGUACAGGGUAAUGAGGGAACAGGAAGUCUCUGCUGAUAACAGUGCCUUCAUAUCCUUUUGCUAAAAUAUUGAGGGUGAACUUUGCUCUUUUAGUCAAUCUGUCAGCAUUUUCAAACACAGUCAACACGUACGAGCACUCUGCACACGGGUGAAAUUGUUUUGGCUCAGAAAGCGUCUUUACGAAGAUUGUAGGUAGUAGAUGCCUGUAAGUAUGUAUGUGCUCCACAGGGGCUGCCUAGUGCCCAUGCCAGAAGAGGACAUUAGACAUUCUGGAACUAGAAAUUGAACCCUGGUCAUGUGGAAGAGCAGCCAGUGCUCUUAACUGCUGAGCCAAUUCUCCAGCCCCAUGUAACACUGUAGCACAGCACAUCUACAAACUGAGAUCUGCAUGGAAAGGACCAAUACAAUCCCAGAAUGAUCCAACCACCCAUGAUAUGCUGGAAAAUGGUCAGGCCACCAGCUGCAACCCAGCUCACCUGUUUCCUUGUGAGGUGGUGAGGUGCUGCUCCAAGGUGUGUCAUCUUCAAACUGGACCCAGUUGCUGAUGGCUGAGGCCAGGUCAGGCGUGGGCUGCACUGGGCUCCCCGGA